Molecule: ribosomal RNA, 442 nt
Filed under: uncultured bacterium
Lineage: Bacteria
Description: partial 16S ribosomal RNA
Rfam family: Bacterial small subunit ribosomal RNA
Source: RNAcentral
CCUACGGGUGGCAGCAGUAGGGAAUCUUUCACAAUGGGCGAAAGCCUGAUGGAGCAACGCCGCGUGCAGGAUGAAGGCCUUCGGGUUGUAAACUGCUUUUAUAAGCGAGAAAUAUGAUGGUAACUUAUGAAUAAGGAUCGGCUAACUACGUGCCAGCAGCCGCGGUCAUACGUAGGAUCCGCGCAUUAUCCGGGGUGACUGGGUGUAAAGAGUUGCGUAGGUGGCAUAAUAAGUAGCUAGUGAAAUCUGGUGGCUCAACCAUUCAAACUAUUAGCGAAACUGUUAAGCUCGAGACCGUUAGGGGUAACUGGAAUUUCUAGUGUAGGAGUGAAAUCCGUAGAUAUUAGAAGGAACACCAAUAGCGUAGGCAGGUUGCUGGGACGGUUCUGACACUAAGGCACGAAAGCGUAGGGAGCAAACGGGAUUAGAUACCCCUGUAGUC